Molecule: ribosomal RNA, 464 nt
Filed under: uncultured bacterium
Lineage: Bacteria
Description: SSU rRNA
Rfam family: Bacterial small subunit ribosomal RNA
Source: RNAcentral
AGAAUCAACGCUGGCGGCGUGCCUAACACAUGCAAGUCGCACGAGAAAGGGUAGCAAUACCUGAGUACAGUGGCGCACGGGUGAGUAACACGUGAAUAAUCUACCUCCGAGUGGGGAAUAACUGAGAGAAAUCUUAGCUAAUACCGCAUAAUACCCACGGGUCAAAGCAGCAAUGCGCUUGGAGAGGAGUUCGCGGCAGAUUAGUUAGUUGGCGGGGUAAUGGCCCACCAAGACGAUGAUCUGUAUCCGGCCUGAGAGGGCGCACGGACACACUGGAACUGAAACACGGUCCAGACUCCUACGGGAGGCAGCAGUGGGGAAUUUUUGCGCAAUGGGGGAAACCCUGACGCAGCAACGCCGCGUGGAGGAUGAAGCCCCUUGGGGUGUAAAACUCCUUUCGAUCGGGAAGAUAAGUGACGGUACCGAUAUAAGAACGCCCGGACUAACUCGUGCCAGCAGCCGAC